UAAUACGAAGGGGGCGAGCGUUGUUCGGAAUUACUGGGCGUAAAGGGCGCGUAGGCGGUUUGCCAAGUCAGGCGUGAAAGCCCCGGGCUCAACCUGGGAACGGCGCUUGGGACUGGCAGGCUCGAGUUCGGGAGAGGACGGUGGAAUUCCCAGUGUAGAGGUGAAAUUCGUAGAUAUUGGGAAGAACACCGAUGGCGAAGGCAGCCGUCUGGACCGACACUGACGCUGAGGCGCGAAAGCGUGGGGAGCAAACAGGAUUAGAUACCCUGGUAGUCCACGCCGUAAACGAUGAGUGCUAGACGUCGGGGGCCUUGGGCCUUCGGUGUCGCAGCUAACGCGUUAAGCACUCCGCCUGGGGAGUACGGCCGCAAGGUUA
RNAcentral lists this ribosomal RNA (376 nucleotides) under uncultured bacterium. RNAcentral's name for it is "bacterial SSU rRNA". It matches the Rfam family "Bacterial small subunit ribosomal RNA", at positions 521 to 896 of the family's 1533-position model. The record is from RNAcentral.